RNAcentral lists this ribosomal RNA (930 nucleotides) under Chaetomium globosum. Its description in RNAcentral is "SSU rRNA". It matches the Rfam family "Eukaryotic small subunit ribosomal RNA", at positions 106 to 1027 of the family's 1831-position model. Lineage: Eukaryota; Fungi; Ascomycota; Sordariomycetes; Sordariales; Chaetomiaceae. The record is from RNAcentral.
UCAGUUAUCGUUUAUUUGAUAGUACCUUACUACAUGGAUAACCGUGGUAAUUCUAGAGCUAAUACAUGCUGAAAACCCCGACUUCGGAAGGGAUGUAUUUAUUAGAUUAAAAACCAAUGCCCUCACGGGCUCUCUGGUGAUUCAUAAUAACUUCUCGAAUCGCACGGCCUUGCGCCGGCGAUGGUUCAUUCAAAUUUCUGCCCUAUCAACUUUCGACGGCUGGGUCUUGGCCAACCGUGGUGACAACGGGUAACGGAGGGUUAGGGCUCGACCCCGGAGAAGGAGCCUGAGAAACGGCUACUACAUCCAAGGAAGGCAGCAGGCGCGCAAAUUACCCAAUCCCGACACGGGGAGGUAGUGACAAUAAAUACUGAUACAGGGGCUCUUUUCGGGUCUGGUAAUUGGAAAUGAGUACAAUUUAAAAUCUCCUUAACGAGGAACAAUUUGGAGGGGCAAGUCUGGUGCCAGCAGCCGCGGUAAUUCCAGCUCCCAAUAGCGUAUAUUAAAGUUGUUGCAGGUUAAAAAGCUCGUAGUUGAAACCUUGGGCCUAGCCGGCCGGUCCGCCUCACCGCGUGCCACUGUCUCGGCCUGGGCCUUUCCUUGGGAGAACUCGCAUGCCCUUCACUGGCGUGUGCCGGGGAUCCAGGCCUUUUUCCGUGAAAAAAAUAGAUCGCUUAAAGAAGGCCUAUGCUUGAAUACAUUCACAUGGAAUAAUAGAAUAGGACGUGUGGUUAUAUUUUGUUGGUUUAUAGGACCGCCGUAAUGAUUAAUAGGGCACAGUCGGGGGCAUACAGUAUUCGAAUUGUCAGAGGUGAAAUUAUUGGAUUUAUUGAGAGACUAACUACUGCGAAGGCAUUUCCCAAGGAUGUUUUCUUUAAUCAGGAACGAAAAGUUAGGGGAUCGAAGACGAUCAGAUACCGUCGUAGUCUU